RNAcentral lists this ribosomal RNA (253 nucleotides) under uncultured bacterium. Its description in RNAcentral is "partial 16S ribosomal RNA". It matches the Rfam family "Bacterial small subunit ribosomal RNA", at positions 524 to 776 of the family's 1533-position model. The record is from RNAcentral.
UACGUAGGGGGCAAGCGUUGUCCGGAUUUAUUGGGCGUAAAGCGCGUGUAGGCGGCCAGAUAGGUCUGCUGUGAAAACUCGAGGCUCAACCUCGAGACGUCGGCGGAAACCAUCUGGCUGGAGUCCGGAAGAGGAGAGUGGAAUUCCUGGUGUAGCGGUGAAAUGCGCAGAUAUCAGGAAGAACACCCGUGGCGAAGGCGGCUCUCUGGGACGGUACUGACGCUGAGACGCGAAAGCGUGGGGAGCGAACAGG